Molecule: long non-coding RNA, 217 nt
Filed under: Gallus gallus (chicken)
Lineage: Eukaryota; Metazoa; Chordata; Aves; Galliformes; Phasianidae
Description: long non-coding RNA NONGGAT011820
Source: RNAcentral
AGAGCUGCGGUGCCUGGCGGAGGAGCUGAGCCGCUGCCAGGUGGCAGACCAUGUCUGACAAAAUAUUUGACACGGAAGUACAUCUGAGGCGAAGGCUGACAAAGAAUUUGUGUGGUCUCUUUGGAAGCGUCUCCAGGUAUCAAAUCCAGACCUUACACAAGCUAUCAGUUUAGCAGUAGAAAGAGAAAAGCAGAAAGCUGAAGUCAAGGACAGAAAG